Long non-coding RNA from Mustela lutreola (European mink), 924 nucleotides. RefSeq lists it as uncharacterized. The record is from RefSeq and is a predicted model, not a curated record. Lineage: Eukaryota; Metazoa; Chordata; Mammalia; Carnivora; Mustelidae. The transcript has 3 exons.
GCACUGCCAGCUAACUGGCCUCCCGCGCAGGCGUACUGACAGCUUAGACCUUGGGGCUGGGCAGCCCAGCCACUUCAGCCACCCGGCCCUCGUGCGCAGGCGCAAUGACAGCCCGAUGGUCCUCUACAGGUCCGGGAGUUUACAGAAAGGGAGAGAGACUAGAAGCAGAGCCGAGGUCGUGCUAGUGAGGACGAGAUGAGGAAAGACUGUACCUAAGACCCGUGGAAAUCCUCUCACAGUCCGGAGCAGGGGCUCUUCUGGUGAAUUGAGGGUGCCUUCCUCCAAGAUUCCACACAGAAGCAGACUUUAGACUUCUCUCCAGAAGAAUCCUCAACUCCUCUCCCUAUUCCAACUACCCGUCCAGAGGAAAGGAAGUGGCCAAUCUGAUUACUGUUAAACAAAAUUCACCUGGUAGAUUUGAAGAUCUAACUGGCUUUAUUCAAUGAUCCACGAAUAGGGCAGCAGCCCAUCUGAAACCUGAUGAUAACCAGAUAAUGACAUUUGUUUUGAAAUCAUCUGACAUAAUCUGAUUGUACCAACUCCUGGAUGGCAUCUUACUGUCCAGAAGAAUGCGCCCAUUCAGAUGUUUCAAGGCUUCCCUGCUCUGAGAUUUCAAGAAAUGCAUCACCGUCCUGAUGUUGGCAGGCUGGGUCUAAGGACACAGAGGGGCCCUGCAGGACCAGCCAAGAGGGUCCUUGGCUUUGCAUGGGAUAGAAAUCAAAUGCAGGGCGCCUGGGUGGCUCAGUGGGUUAGAACACUGCCUUAGGCUCAGGUCAUGGUCUCAGGGUUCUGGGAUCGAGUCCCACAUCAGGCUCUCUGCUCAGCGGGGAGCCUGCCUCCUCCUCUCUCUCUGCCUGCCUCUCUGCCUACUUGUGAUCUCUCUCUGUCAAAUAAAUAAAUGAAAACUUUAAAAAAAUUAAAAAA